AUGACUCUCCUUCUCGGCCUGCUGCUGUCUUCCCUCCAUGCUUUCCAGGCUACUCCUCCACCUUCCUUGUUCCAGCCCCAACCCUCUGUGGACAACGGACAGGGAAACCCACAGAUUCUCUGCCAGGUGCUGGGUAGCCCUGCUAGAGCCCACGUCCUAUCCUGGUACCAACAACUUCCUGGGAAAAGCCCGACCUUUCUGCUGAGUCAGAGGGAAGGAGCUGCCCCAACCUACGGUUCUGGUGUGACCCCACGCUUCCUGGCUGAGCUAGACCUUGAAAAGAACAGCGUCCGCCUCACUGUGGGCAACGCCGGCCCUGGAGAUGUGGGCAUUUACUAUUGUGCUCUGUGGUAUGCCGGCCAGUACAUCUUUGGAGAAGGCACUUGGUUCCUCUAUCAUGCUGAGAGGUUGCCUCUGGUUCCUCAUCCUCCUCAGCUGACCCUGCUAACUUCAGGCCCUGGAUCUCCCAUACUGUGUGUGGCCAUGGGGCACCAGCCUGCCCCGCUGAGGCUCUCCUGGGCUGUGGAGAGCCAGCUCCACAAGGGGGGAGCUGAGGAGAGCCUGAUGGAGGACAUGGGUGACACUGUGGUCAGCACACUGCAUCUGUCCAACAGGACCCUGGGAGGCACUGUCGUCUGCAAGGCCGACCACGAGAGCGGGACCUCAGUUGCCACACUGAGGCUGCCUCCUUCCAAGAAGCAGGCUAAGUGUUUCUGGGAUGCAGAGCCCUGGAAUGGGGGUCAGGAAAAUGACCAGAAUAUACUAGCCCAGCUGGAGUGGACCCUCACUUUUGCUCUGUAUUGCUACCUGGGGAUGCUAGGAGGAGCUAAGCUCUACGCACUACUUCUGGCUGGUCUGUUGGCAACCCGCCGAUCCCCUGCUCUCCGUGCCGGUUCCCACACUCAGCGGAGGCCCAAGGGAGGGCCGAGGUUCCAGACCCCUUCAAGCUGAAGGCCCACCUUCUGUCAGCUUUAUGUCGUCCUUUCUCCCAGACCUACCUUCGCCUAUCCUCUCUGCAUCCAAUCCCUCUACUCUCUCUUUCAGUC
Molecule: long non-coding RNA, 1046 nt
Filed under: Vombatus ursinus (common wombat)
Lineage: Eukaryota; Metazoa; Chordata; Mammalia; Diprotodontia; Vombatidae
Description: lncRNA (ENSVURG00010023082.1)
Source: RNAcentral